This 327-nucleotide ribosomal RNA is filed under the name uncultured eukaryote. RNAcentral describes it as "partial 18S ribosomal RNA". It matches the Rfam family "Eukaryotic small subunit ribosomal RNA", at positions 1470 to 1796 of the family's 1831-position model. The record is from RNAcentral.
CCCUUAGAUGUUCUGGGCCGCACGCGCGCUACACUGACGGAUUCAACGAGCUUACAACCUUGGCCGAAAGGUCUGGGCAAUCUCCAAAAUCCGUCGUGAUGGGGAUAGAUUAUUGCAAUUAUUAAUCUUCAACGAGGAAUGCCUAGUAAGCGCAAGUCAUCAGCUUGCGUUGAUUACGUCCCUGCCCUUUGUACACACCGCCCGUCGCUCCUACCGAUUGAAUGGUCCGGUGAAGCGUUUGGACUAUGGUUUUCUGAUGGCCCGCCGUUGGAUUACCGUGGGAAGUUCGUUAAACCUUAUCAUUUAGAGGAAGGAGAAGUCGUAACA